This is a long non-coding RNA of Tupaia belangeri chinensis (Chinese tree shrew), 527 nucleotides long. RefSeq lists it as uncharacterized. The transcript is spliced from 4 exons. NCBI's taxonomy places the organism in Eukaryota, Metazoa, Chordata, Mammalia, Scandentia, Tupaiidae. The record is from RefSeq and is a predicted model, not a curated record.
UGGAGGCGCACCCGGUCCCUAUCGCGGCCCCCUCCUCGGCCACUUCUUGCGUGAGGAUCUCCGAGGACCCGUAGAUUUGCUCCUUCCCGCCAAAGAUACCCUUGCCUCCAGGAGGACUUCAGUGAUUGCUGGCAUUGGAACUACCAGGCCCAGGAGAGAGGUGAGAAGGCAAUUUCCCAGGAGGCGCUGACAUCAAUGCUGGAAACGAGGAGGACUUCAGGGAUUGCUGGCAUUGGAACUACCAGAUGUGGCUGAUGUUGGCUCACCUGGCCCCAAGCGGCACCAUGGACAGAGACUCCUGCCGAUGGAGGCCAUCCAGGCUGGGCGCCAGGCUCUGAGGCCUGGAGCAAAGACCAAGCAAGCCCGUCAUGGCGCGAUGGAUGAGAGCAGGACCAGGCUGAGGUCCCAACCCUGGGUCCCCACCUACUGGACGUGAGACCCUGAGCAAGUCCCUCAGCCCGUCUUGAGGCUCAGUUUUCUCAUCUGUGAAACAGGUCAGAAAAGCCUUCCUUUGGGCUGGCAGGUGG